GGGUGAGUGACACGUGGAUAACCUACCUAUAAGACUGGGAUAACUUCGGGAAACCGGAGCUAAUACCGGAUAAUAUUUUGAACCGCAUGGUUCAAAAGUGAAAGACGGUCUUGCUGUCACUUAUAGAUGGAUCCGCGCUGCAUUAGCUAGUUGGUAAGGUAACGGCUUACCAAGGCAACGAUGCAUAGCCGACCUGAGAGGGUGAUCGGCCACACUGGAACUGAGACACGGUCCAG
This 236-nucleotide ribosomal RNA is filed under the name uncultured Staphylococcus sp. RNAcentral's name for it is "partial 16S ribosomal RNA". It matches the Rfam family "Bacterial small subunit ribosomal RNA", at positions 104 to 334 of the family's 1533-position model. Lineage: Bacteria; Bacillati; Bacillota; Bacilli; Caryophanales; Staphylococcaceae. The record is from RNAcentral.